AUGGUUUUCUUUCGCGGACACCGUUCCCGAGCUGCCGGCGCCGCGCCGUUCUUCCUCAGCUCCUCCCCGGGCCAUCGCCGAAAGCAGCACACUCAUGCUCGCGCGAACAGAGGCGGCGCAGGAAGGACGGCCCCAACGUCCACGGGGGAGCGCGCGCUGGCGGCCUGUGUAGGGAGGCUAUGCACGACGGCUGGGGACGCUGCGGCACACUGGAACUGCCGUGCAGCGUGCAAGGCGGCAGGCGACGCUGCGGUGGUGAGCAGGGAGCCCCUGUACGCGCUCGAGCUGGCGCGCACGCCAUGGAUGGCAUGUCCGGCCGCCCAACGUGUUGUCUUCGUCGACAACCUGACGCCCGACGAGCCACUGGCUUCAUGUCCGCGUGGCCUCCCCUGGUCACCGCACUCUUCCCCGUCCUCCGGCCGUGUCAAGCUUAUCCCCAUGCCUGCAAGAAAAAGCUCCCCGAUGGUCGCCCAGAAGUUGUUUGAUGAAAUGCCCCCAGAAGCUGUUUGA
This 510-nucleotide ribosomal RNA is filed under the name Triticum aestivum (bread wheat). RNAcentral's name for it is "partial small subunit ribosomal RNA". Lineage: Eukaryota; Viridiplantae; Streptophyta; Magnoliopsida; Poales; Poaceae. The record is from RNAcentral.